Long non-coding RNA from Peromyscus californicus insignis, 1682 nucleotides. RefSeq lists it as uncharacterized. The record is from RefSeq and is a predicted model, not a curated record. The transcript has 6 exons. NCBI's taxonomy places the organism in Eukaryota, Metazoa, Chordata, Mammalia, Rodentia, Cricetidae.
GUUUAACCCUGUGGGUGUCAGUUUCGGGAGCUGCUGGCCUCAGAGCAGAGCUGGAAGCUAUAGACGAGGAGAAAGUCGGCACACCAACUUCAAAAGAAUGUUUGUGUGAAAGGUGCACCACAUGAGUGCUUGUGGAGGUCAGAAGAGGACAUUGGAUCCCUGGAACUGGAGUUACAGAUGGUUGUGCAUACCAUGUGCAUGCUGAAAAUUUAACCCGGGUCUUCUGCAAGAGGAACAAGUGCUCUUAACCACUGAGCCAUCUCUCCAGUCCCAGAAGACCUCACAGCUGAAUUUGCUUUGUGUCUCAGAACAGACUUUGGACCUGGACUUUUGAACAUUUAACACUCUGGAGACUCUUUGAGGUGCAUUAAAGACAAUUAUCACAGGUAUCCGUGACACAGUAUAGAUAAUCGACUUAAAGUGGUCAGUCAAAAGAUAUACUGCAAGAGAAAAUAUAAAGUAUGUAUGUGCACCACCUGUGUGCAGGAGCCUGAGGAGGCCAUUGGAUCCCUUGGGACUGGAGUUCCAGACAGUUGUCGAUUACCAGGGAAACUCUGAAUUGUCAUCCAGGACAAAAUAAACAAGUGACACCAUUGGAGUUCUUCUGCGGGUAAAUCCUGCCCAUUUAGUCCACCCAAACAUGUUAUGUUUGCAUAAGAAAACCUUUUUAUAAAGUGUAAGUUUGAAGGUUAAAACCAUUGGUUCUUCCUACAUUUACUCUGAGUUAUUAUAGCUAGAUUGUUUACAACUUAAACUUCGAUGAUCGAGUUUUAAUUGGCUGUUUUCAGAAUACCGAUUUUAUAAGAAAAAGGACAGAAUGAUUGAGGAAGGGAAAACAAUGAGACAGUAAAGAACAGCUGGGCUGGAGAAAAGAUGUGAAAAAAAAUCAGCUUUAUAGUUUGUCACACACACACACACACACACACACACACACACACACACACACACAGAAGAGGUCACGGUUCAGUGAUGUUUCCUUUAAGCGCUACAAUUCUGAGGCCUAUUAUGCAAAAAAGAAGUUUUACAUACAAAAUUAUGCUAUAUUUUUCGUACUGGCAUCUAUAUCAUUUAAUUACUAAAACAAAAGGGCACAUUAUAGUCAAUUUUCCAACAAUAUUAAAGAUAACUUAUUAAAACCCCAUCUGUCAAUUUUUGAUAACCAGUAAUUACUUAGCUGAUGAACUCUGAGAUCCAAAAGCGAUACAAACUACUUAGAUAGCUGACAGUCUCUCCCCACAAACAAACUAAACGAGACCCCUCAUAAGCCAGAGGACAAGUGAAAAUGGGGAAGAAAUGUCCCUGUGGCUUCUAAACACCAUUUUUGCCUUGCAUUCGGUCCUUUGUUCCAUCUGUCACCUUUCCACUCUGCACUAACCACUUGUCACUCUAGUCUCCACAGCCACCCCUACCGAUCUCCACAAUACUCCCUCUCCUGUCUGUCAGUCCCUCUGGAAUCCGUCCAGGGUUCACCUACACCUGCGGGACGCCAGGUGCCGAAACCGAGGCCGGGAACCGGGUAGUGGAUCAUGCUGCCAUCGGGUCCCCGGGGAGCCAAGGGCCGCGGGGACAGGAUUACAGAAUUCCGAGGCGGCGGUCUGCCUCCCUAGCACCACAUCCCCAUCCCAGGAGGUUCCUCCCGGGUAUCCCUGGCAGCCCGCACUCACAGCGCACGGUUGUGGAAG